GCCCGAUGAAGUGGCUGUGCCUGUAGUCCCAGCUACUUGGGAGACUGAGACAAGAAGAUCUCUUGAGAUCAAGUGUUCUGGGCUAUAGUGUGCUAUAAUGAUCGGGUGUCCACACUAAGUUCGGCAUCAAUAUGGUGACCUCCUGAAAGCCAGAGGCCACUAGGUUGCCUAAGGAGGGGUGAACCGGCCCAAGUUGGAAACAGAGCAGGUCGAAACUCCUGUGAUGAUCAGUAGUGGAAUUGUGCCUGUGAACAGCCACUGUACUCCAGCCUGGGCAACAUAGUGAGACCCCCAUCUCU
Unclassified non-coding RNA from Otolemur garnettii (small-eared galago), 299 nucleotides. It matches the Rfam family "Metazoan signal recognition particle RNA". From Rfam's summary of the family: The signal recognition particle (SRP) is a universally conserved ribonucleoprotein. It is involved in the co-translational targeting of proteins to membranes. NCBI's taxonomy places the organism in Eukaryota, Metazoa, Chordata, Mammalia, Primates, Galagidae. The record is from Ensembl.